CCCUGGUGUGUUUGUGAGAUACUGAGAUGUCUUGCUACUUUUAUUGCGCACGUAAGGUGGCCGGGAGCUUGUAAAACUGCAUGUCAUAUCUGAUGUUUGGAUAUAUGAUUUUAUUGUUUGACCCUCCCUGAAAGUACAUGGUCUCAUUAAAUUAUCUACAUUUAACAUGACAAGUUCCAGAAUAAGUGUAAUGAAUAUAUUUGAUUAGUAUAAAUAAGACGAUAUGUUCUAGAAUAUGAGGUAAUGACAGAUAACAUGCAUGCUUCUUAGACUGGCUUGCAUAUUUCGCUGUUAUGAACCUGAUAUACAUCAUUCGUAAAUGCUUAUAUCUUGCUAUUAUGAAAGUUAUAUGCUUUUUAAUGAUGUGAUGCAGUUGUAGUGGCGUGUAAUAUGUAUUCAUUGUAAUAUUUUCUUAGUUUUGGAGAUUGGUUAGUAUUUUGUGGUUGAUGGUUGUAGCUGGCUUUUUCUCCAAAAAUUUACAUCUGUACAAAUUGACCAGAAGUCCAGAAUAGUCUUAUACUUAGUCUUAUACUUAGCACUCCGAUCUUUGUAGAAAAACCUUACUGGGUCCAAAGCUGUCCAGAUGCAUGGUGAAUGAUGGCUGAGAUGUGGUUCACAUGAAAUGAAAAGAAAAUUCUUGUGCUUGCAGGGAGCGGAAGCGGAUGUUAUUGUGGUCACCGUUAAGAGAGUGCUUUUUUGGCCCACUACCAAAGAAAAAUGGUGGGUUCCCACUUGAUUAAAACUAUCAUUUUUGUUCUUUUUUUCCAGAAAAGGCAAAACCGCUCAAGAUUCUGCUCUUCUUCAGAAUAUUCACAAGUAAAUGAUUUUCUUGCUUGUAUACAAGACAUUUCAGCCACUUUCAUGGAAGUAACGAAGCUGACCAUUUUAAUUAGGCUCACAAGCAGCUGAAUUGUGUAGGUCGCUCCUCCACUCAGGGGACAUGAUGCCGUCCCACUGUCCCUUCAUUGUGAUGCUGCCGUGGACACGCAUAUUGGGCUGCACUCUUAGGAUGGACACCAAGAUUGGCUUCCUCUCGCCAGCGCUGGGGCUGUGAGGAGCAUGAGGUAUUGCGGCCUCAUGUUGUUAUUGCUAGAGUAAUCUUUGUAAAUUCUAUCUUGACUUUUUGUAAGAAAGGAUUGCUAUUGCAGUGCAAUUGUUCUAGGUGGUGUAGUAUCUUGGCACCUUGUUAGGAUUAACAUGAUAUGCCAUUUAUUGUCUCUCUAAUGAAUACAUACUACAGUACUUGCUCUUUCUAGUGUUAGUUUGGGUUUGCAGACCAUCUAUCCUCAUAAUCUGUUUACAAGAUUGUUGUCUUGAAAAAUAUGGAAUUUUUUUAUGUGAAGAAGCAUUAAUGCAUUUUAGGACUCGACGAGUUGUGUGGCCUUUGAAAAAAUUGGCCUCCUCGCGUGAAUGUGUUGCUUGUUCUUUGUAUUUCUGCAAGACGAAGGUUUGGUAACUGAUCUGAUUGGUAUGUCUAUGAUGUUCUUGUGUUCGUAUAUUCUUCAGUGGAAUAAUUGUUGUAUUAUUCUGACUAGCUCUUACUUUCAGGUGGUUGUCAAAAUACACUAUGGAACAUAAAUACUUGUGAGAUGUAUUAAUUAAUUAGUUGCUUCUUUUUUCAGGUUAUUGUAUACUGCUCUUGCACUCACAAGUUUAUAGAUCUGUGUUUUGUCAGCUAAACGGAUCUAUUGCUAGAAUCUAAGGAAGUUUUUGGACAUUUUAAUAUCUAUCUGAUGAAGUAGCACUCUAGGAUGGAUCUGUUUCUAACUGAAACCAGAUGUUGUAUUUAGUGAUGUUGCAUUUGUAGGACAUAUGGCCAUCCCAUGUAUGUAUGUAUGGACGAUGGAUUGUUGUCCUUUUGGCUAUGAGGUAGUACAGGACUUGUGAACCUACAAAUGUAUUUCUAAUUAUGUAUGUCGUGAUGUAGUAUUGGACCUGUGAACCUACAGAUGUAUAGCUAUGUAUUGUUGAGAUAUGUAUUGUUGUUAUAUAUACGAUACAACCUAAUUACUCUACACGUGUGAAGUUCCAUCUAUACAUUGUAUUCUAAAUUAUGGUACAAAAUCAAGUGGAGAUAAAUGACAGGUUGAACUAGAAGGGGA
RNAcentral lists this long non-coding RNA (2102 nucleotides) under Triticum aestivum (bread wheat). RNAcentral describes it as "long non-coding RNA (TAES_LNC001572)". The record is from RNAcentral. Lineage: Eukaryota; Viridiplantae; Streptophyta; Magnoliopsida; Poales; Poaceae.